Long non-coding RNA from Macadamia integrifolia, 766 nucleotides. RefSeq lists it as uncharacterized. The transcript has 2 exons. The record is from RefSeq and is a predicted model, not a curated record. Lineage: Eukaryota; Viridiplantae; Streptophyta; Magnoliopsida; Proteales; Proteaceae.
CGCUUCUGCUGCAAGGCUGAAUAAAGUUCCAAGAAACGUACUUAAGAAAUGGAGUCGUGAAUUAGCAUAUGUUUUUGAAUCAUUCUCUACUUAUCAAGGAGUGGAAGGUCAAGUGGAGAAGAUAUGGAUUACUGAAAUUGCCACUGAUGGAGGAGUUCACUUGGUGGCCAUACCAAUGGAAAGGUGCAGGUGCUUGUUACUGCUCCUGAAAGAAUGCUGUGGACUUCAACUGAUGUGAAGAUUAUAUCCAUUGAAGGCGGUUUGUCAGUAUUUGCUGAGGUGAUUCAGACUCAUUGUCGAACAUAAGCAGUCAGCAAGUCCAUUGGAAACAAAUCCAUCCCCUCCAAAUGUCUUACACAACACUUGUAACUGUUCAAAUGACGAUGAACCAUAUUCUUGUGUGGUGCAAAGCUGUGAAAGGCAAGAUACUGUGUGCAAAAGCACCACCAAAGUGGACAUCACUUGGCUGGAAGAUCACAAAAGAAGAAAUGUCUUUGGGUCAUUACUGAGGUGGCGGAAAAGUCCAAGGAGCAAACAUCUCUUACGAUCAAAGGAGACGCAAGCACAAGGUAGAAGAAAGAGGGCGUACCCAGUGCACGAGGGUUCCACCACUGAGGUCGAGGGAGGGUCAUAAUGUUCAGUAUUGUAAUAGCCAUCUUGUAACUUUGCCUUUAUGAUUCUGAUCUUGUAAUUUUUGCAGAGUUGUGAGCAUUUCAAUCUAUCAUUAGAGGCAAUGUUAUUUAUUUAUUUUCUUUGGCUGUCUGCA